AUUGAACGCUGGCGGCAGGCUUAACACAUGCAAGUCGAGCGAGCGGCGGACGGGUGAGUAAUGUCUGGGAAACUGCCUGAUGGCGGGGGAUACCUACUGGAAACGGUAGCUAAUACCGCAUACCAUCAGAUGUGCCCAGAUGGGCUUAGCUAGUAGGUGGGGUAAUGGCUAACCUAGGCGACGAUCCCUAGCUGGUCUGAGAGGAUGACGAGCAACACUGGAACUGAGACACGGUCCAGACGCCUAGGGGAGGCAGCAGUGUGGAAUAUUGCACAAUGGGCGCAAGCCGGAUGAAGCCAUGCCGCGUGUGGGAAGAAGGCCUUCGGGUUGUAAAGCACUUUCAGCGAGGAGGCGUUACCGACAGAAGAAGCACCGGCUAACUCCGUGCCAGCAGCCGCGGUAAUUC
RNAcentral lists this ribosomal RNA (406 nucleotides) under uncultured bacterium. RNAcentral describes it as "partial 16S ribosomal RNA". It matches the Rfam family "Bacterial small subunit ribosomal RNA", at positions 30 to 526 of the family's 1533-position model. The record is from RNAcentral.